CCAGCAGCUGCGGUAAUUCCAGCUCCAAUAGCGUAUAUUUAAGUUGUUGCAGUUAAAAAGCUCGUAGUUGGAUUUCGGGCGGGUGACGGCGGUCCGCCUCUGGUGUGCACUGCUGCUCAUCCGCCUUACUGUCGGGGACGGGCUCCUGGGCUUCACUGUCCGGGACUCGGAGUCGGCGCUGUUACUUUGAGUAAAUUAGAGUGUUCAAAGCAGGCCUACGCUCUGAAUACAUUAGCAUGGAAUAACACGAUAGGACUCUGGCCUAUCCUGUUGGUCUGUAGGACCGGAGUAAUGAUUAAGAGGGACAGUCGGGGGCAUUCGUAUUUCGAUGUCAGAGGUGAAAUUCUUGGAUUUUCGAAAGACGAACUACUGCGAAAGCAUUUGCCAAGGAUGUUUUCAUUAAUCAAGAACGAAAGU
This 417-nucleotide ribosomal RNA is filed under the name uncultured eukaryote. RNAcentral describes it as "SSU rRNA". It matches the Rfam family "Eukaryotic small subunit ribosomal RNA", at positions 567 to 990 of the family's 1831-position model. The record is from RNAcentral.